UGUGUGAACAUAUUUGUUUGUGUCAGGAAGUACUUUGAGGAAGUAAGUGUACUGCCUGUGUUUACAUUCAUGUCUCUGUAACACUGUAUGUUGUUGUUUUUUCCCCCAUAUAUGGGCUCAAACACAUGAAGCAGACAGGAAAUGUAGUUGCUAAGCUGUUGCUAUGUGCACCAAAGCUAUUUAUGACUAAGGUGGUACAAAGAGUUUAGUAUAAAAAGGGCUGACUGACAGAAAUCUGUGUUCUUUUUCACUUUUGUGCCUUUGCUUUUUUGUCCUUUUCUUUUUGGACUUGUUGGUGAUUCUCAGCUGCAGACAGCUUUAGAGAAUUUCACUUGCUGAAGACACCAUCACCGACUGGUAUUGCAAACGACCAACUUGUGUCUGAACCUCUGCAAAUUAGAGAACCAAUCACCCAUCAGUCAAGUUACAAAUCAAGAUAUGCAGGUGUGGCCCAUUCACUUGGACACUAUAUGAACUCCAACUAGUCUGAAGUUUCAGAGAGUUCCCUUUUUCCUCUCCUUUCAGAAGACUGACUGCUCACUGACUGCUGCCUCAGACUGCCGCCUCCUGCCAGCCACUGUGAGUGCUCAAGUCAACUUUAGCCAACUUUAGUUCUUCGGGAAAAAUAUGAUGAAACUUUCCGUUUUCCUACUGAUGCUGCACUCUGUCAUUCUGGUCUGGUCCGUGCCUCCGGAAAAGUCACUAUUCGAAAUUCAGCAUAUUGCGAAGGAAGGAGACACGUGUGAUAAUCUGAUGAAUAAUCUGAUGAAUAAACUGAAUGAACCGAAUAAACAGAACAAGGAGGAGUCUAAAUGCAAGCCAAGAGAAUACCUUCAUCAUUGAUGAUAUGGAAAAUGUUAAAAAGAUUUGUAAUCAGAGGCAUGUUUAUUACAAUCUUUAUGCAAGCAACAAUGCGUUGAAAAUGUUGCACUGUAAAUUGAUCCCUAAUAGUUCACCUUGUAAGUAUGAAGACAUACCUAUACAACUGCAUGCGGAAAUCGCAUGUAACAAUAACAAGCAACCUGUACACUUUGAAUGUUCCUUUCCCUCAACAUCUAAAUAAAUUUGCUUAAAUAUUAACGGUAAUAAUAAUAAAUAAAAACAAUGACUGAAUACUGGAAAAUUGCUUUUCAGUGAUGAUGGAAGAAUAUUACAAUAACCAGCACUAUCUGUUAGACUUCACUUUGUCUCACUUAAAUAACUAUAUUUUACAUGUUUUCUAACUGGCUGUAUCUCAUCUUGUUCUCUCAUAUGACAAUCAUUGCCGGCCUUUCAGCACUCAUUAAAUAAACUAAAGAUGCCCAAGCUGCUGCUCCAGAGAAUUGCAUUACACUGAAAGUGAAACCACAUAUUUGGGUUGGUUUUUAAAACUCUGAAGAGAGAAGCUUUAUGCACAUUAUGUGACAGAAAAGGAAGUGGUUAUAAGUCGAGCAGGCUAGGCUGGGCUGGGCUGGGCUGGGCUGGGCUGGGCUGGGCUGGGGAAUAACACAGGCGCCCUAUAUAGCAAAAAGGUCCUAGGUUCAAAUCCAGCAUCUGACCUGAACCUUUCUGUGCGGAGUUUGUGUCUGUGUGUUGCAUGCAUGGCUUCUCCCCGGGCACUCCAGUCUUCUCCUAUAGUACAAAGACAUGUGUAGGAUUAGGUUAAGUGGUGACCUGUAGGUGUAAAUAUGGGUAUGUUGUCUUUUUCUCUGUGUUAGUCCUGCAAUAGACUUGCAACAUGUCCCGGAUGUAACCUGCUUCAUAGCAGACAUGAAAAAUUUAUAUCUGCUGUACAAAGUGAAGCUUAUUCAAGUGUUAGACUUAUCUUCAGUGUCUGGAUAAGUCAGGCCCACUUCUUCAUUGUUGCUGUGGUAGAUAACCAGCAGCAUCUUCAGAACCACGAUAUACAAAAGCACAGGGACACCGAAUGACAGAAAGAGUACACAUUUAGCGUAACUUUAUGUACCAAAAUGAAUUUUUUUCAGUUUAUCAGUUUUAGAGUUUCACUUUUCAGUUUUCUUGACCUCUCAGACAUACAAUUCAUCAUUUUGUUGGCUACCUUUCCCCAAACUGGACAACAUAAGAGGUGUAAAUACAAAGACUUGUCAUGUUGUUGAACCAUCUUCCCAGUGUUUCACUCCAAAUGCACUGUGCCAGACCUUGACACCAUGCUGCUUGGGUAUAUUAAUGAAGACAGACCUAGACCAAUCAGAGAAUUGAGAAACUAGGGAACAGUGAUGGUCAGAAAGCUCAGGCCUUCAUUGGCAUUACUUGUUUUUCCUGUGAUAAAGCACCAGGAAUCCAUUCUACCAUAACUGGAUGGCCUUGGCCCAGAAGUCAAACCUGCAUUGGCAUGUGCAGGAGAUUUUGGGGUCCAUUAAAAUUUGCAGAAAUCAAUGCAAAUAAAGGAAAGGUUGUGCUUCAAAUUUUAUAAAUACACUCAGUCUUUGUUUUCUAAAUAAAUACUUUUUUAUUUUUAGUGCAUCAUUCAAAACCUUCUGUUAUUCCAAGUAAAAAAAAUUCUGAGAACUGAGAAUUAUAUGUAAGCAUUUUAGGGUGAGAUGUCCAUUAUAAUACUUUUCUAAUACUUUGUUACUUCAGAUUGAUUCCACUUCUGUUCUGUGGCAUGCCAUCAACUCCUUCUAUCAAAUAAUGUCUUGACAUGAGACAGGGAAACACAUCUGUAUGAUCCCUGAAUUAAACAGGUUACUAUUCA
Molecule: long non-coding RNA, 2695 nt
Organism: Oreochromis aureus
Lineage: Eukaryota; Metazoa; Chordata; Actinopteri; Cichliformes; Cichlidae
Exons: 4
Source: RefSeq, a predicted model, not a curated record